AACCAAUGACAGAAGUGGAGUUGAUGAAUGCGGAUGUCGUCCUCGGCGCAGUGACACUGAUAAGGAACUGGAGUCUCGGGAUGUGCUCGUUUUAAGUCAGACGAGCUUUUGCAAAAUUCACCCCACGGACGACGAUUUCAUCUCUACACUGACGUGAAGAAUUUCACGAGUGGAGAACGCCUUCCUCCCAAAAACACUGAGAGAAGAAUUCUGCCUGCAGGAAAAUGGGAAGUACAGUGAUGGACUCCAAGAAAAAGGACAGUGCAAAGAAAUCCUCAAAGAAAAAGCGAUCUCUGCGCCUAAACAUGCCAGAUUUGAGCACAUUCACAUCCUCUCUUAUGGAUGGAGAGACCGACAGAACAGAUAAAGAUGAAAUGCACAAGGGUGACGGUAGUGAGUCAGCUAGCACUCCUGCCAGUCAGCCCUGUACCCCAUCUUCAGCCCCCGUAUGUCCCAGGACCAGUCCAGGCACUCCUAAAAGCAUCUUCCCACAUCCACUAUCAUCCCACCAGGACUCACCUCCCAAAUCUCCCCGCCGUCUCAGUUUCAGUGGUAUCUUCCGCUCCUCGCCCAGCUCAGCGCCUGCCCGGAUCUUCUCCAAAUCUAGAAAAGGCUCUGGGCUUUCGACUCCCCCCACCACCCCGACUCAGAGUCCCGCUCCACCAGUCUUCUCUAUGGAGAGCCCUAGUCCUGUGGAGCGGGUGGAGGAACGCCGAUCCCGCUCUCUCUCAUCUCCACCAGACACAGGACAGCGCUUCAGCCUGAGCACCUCCACCAACAAACCCCCGAUCGCCUCGUACACCUUUUACUCUACCUCACGCCAGAGCUGCGUACUUGCUGAAGGCAUGCUGGAAAAACUUGAACUUGAUAAUGAAGCUGCUGAAGAGCCAGACAAUGACAUUUACAUGCGCUUUAUGAAAUCCCACAAGUGCUAUGACCUCAUCCCCACCAGCUCCAAACUAGUGGUCUUUGACACUUCAUUACAGGUAAAGAAAGCUUUCUUUGCCUUGGUUGCUAAUGGAGUUCGAGCUGCACCAUUGUGGGAAACCAAAAAGCAAAGCUUUGUGGGAAUGUUAACCAUCACAGACUUCAUCAUCAUACUGCACAGAUACUACAAAUCACCACUGGUGCAAAUAUAUGAACUGGAGGAGCAUAAAAUUGAGACUUGGAGAGAACUGUACUUGCAAGAAACUUUUAAACCCUUAGUCAACAUAUCUCCAGAUGCAAGUAUAUUUGAUGCCGUAUACUCGCUCAUCAAAAAUAAGAUCCAUCGUUUGCCAGUGAUCGAUCCAGUCACAGGAAACGCUCUGUAUAUCCUCACACACAAGAGGAUCCUCAAGUUUCUGCAGCUCUUUGUGUGUGAGAUGCCUAAACCAGCCUUCAUGAGGCAGACUCUGGAGGAGCUGGGCAUUGGCACAUACAGCAACAUCGCUUUCAUUCACCCAGAUACACCCAUUAUUAAAGCCCUGGGCAUGUUUGUGGAGAGGAGAGUGUCUGCCCUGCCGGUGGUGGACGUUACAGGAAAGGUUGUGGACAUAUACUCCAAAUUUGAUGUCAUUAACCUGGCUGCUGAGAAGACCUACAAUAACCUGGACAUCACUGUGACUCAGGCGCUGCUGCAUCGUUCACAAUACUUCGAGGGAGUCAUGAAGUGUUAUCGACACGAGACCGUGGAGACUAUAGUGGACAGGAUCGUCAAAGCUGAGGUGCACAGGCUGGUAGUGGUGGAUGAUAACUCCAGCAUCGAGGGCAUCAUCUCUCUCUCAGACAUCCUGCAGGCGCUGGUUCUCACCCCCGCAGGUAUAGACGCACAGAAUUCCUAAAUCAUCCCUCCAUUUCACUUUCCUUCUCUCUUCUCCACUCUUCCCCGGACCCAAUCUCCUCUCCCUGGACAUCUAUCACUCAAGUGUCCCUCUCUGACCCCCUGAGCACAGGAGGACGCAGAAGGGACAGUGUGACUGAAUGACAAAACAGCAUUUUGGAGGUGAAAGAGAAAUGCAAGAAAUUCAAACCAAAAAGGUCCAGCCAGCUUUACUGACGGGAUACAGAGAAGAGGACAGCUGGAAACUUUAAGAUCCUCAUUUAAUGGCCGGGCUGAAUGAAACCCUUUGAAUCUGCAGCUGAAGGAACAGACACACAAUUGUUGGACAUGUUUAUGGCGGUCCGAUCAUGAGAAUCUGCCGCUAUACUGUACACUGCUUUAGAUGCUGGGCAUGUUUGGCUGCUGGUUUUAGAGCUGUUCACUGACAGCACUAAAUCAGACAUGUCUUCUAGCUGGGUCUGCGUUAUGUCAUCAGGCGAUGUAGUGUCUGAAGUGGAAAUUUGCCUUAAAUGAAGACCUCGGAGAGAGCUGACUGUAAAGGUUUGCAGAGCCCCGUAGAUGUGCAUGUAGUGCAAAAGCAGGUUCUUGAUUCUUUGGCAAUAAGUUGCUGUUGGUUCAAAGACCUGCUAGACUCUGUAGACAUCGAGCCAUGUUUUUCUCUGCAAUUCUCUUGAAAAUACUUUCAGGUUGCAUUACAUCCAAAAAUGAAAAGUAGAAAAUCUUAACUGAAAAUUAAGCAUAUGUGCAUAAUGUGACAUAAUUUUUUUGACAGGUAAGCAUAUUUCCCUCCAGGUUUUAUUAUUGUAAUACAAAAAGCGUUUAUAUGUUAUGCAAAUAAUAAAAUGUGUUUGUAGUAUUUAUUCAAUCACCUGCAAUUUAUGCAGAAUUUAAAGAAAAAGAAUGGUUACUUUUUUAAAUAAUGAGAAACCAAUAAGAAUACAUUACAUUAAUAGUUUAAUAUUACAUAGUUCUCAUGAAAAAAACAUAGAAGUGGAUCUCAGUUGGUCAUUGUUAAAAAAAAACUGUACCGUUCUUUUUUUAUAUAUAUAUAGAACUAAUACUGUAAUAAAUGCAUGUUAAAGAAAAAAUAAGGGAAUGAGAUGCUUUGUAUAAAAAUAAUUAUAAUUGCAGGGAAAUAUGUUUCCCAUGAAAAUAAUGUUACAAUCAAAAAAAAUUAUGGUCCUAAAAACAUCUAUGGCUUUUUUGUUUCUUUCAGUUUCUGUGUGAUAUAUGAUAUGACCCAGACACAUUCUUGACAAGUUUAAUGAGAUUCAUCCGAAUAUUAUUGUUUUUUCCUGUUAGUCCAAAAUGUCUGCUGAACAUAAAUUGUAUUCUCAUCCUAUUAGUUUUCAGUGGAAAAAUGAAUGUACUACCACACUGCAUACGCACUGACUGUCAUGGACUGUAAUUUUACUGGAACAAAGAAUAUGUUGUGGAAAGUGACUAUAUUUUUCUAUCAUGACUGUCUGUUGUGUUUUCCUGGUGUGGAAAUCGGUCUUAUGCACUAAAAGAGCAUGAAUGUCAAAGCUUGCAGUUGCAAAAAUGGCUAUGCACCUUUGCACCACAGUGAUAUGCUGAGCUACUGUAAAUACAACAACAUGCCAUGUAAUGGGUUCAAAACUGAUACAUUAUGUAUUGUUUGAUUGCAUUUUUUUCAUUAUUGUGUACUGUCAGUGAAAGUUAAGACCGUUAAGUCCAGAGAGAUUGAAAUGUACAUUUUUGUACACAGAAAUGACACUAUAUUUUAUUUUUUAAGUGGUUGUGCUAAAAUAUAUUGAUAAUGCAUUAA
Molecule: RNA transcript, 3611 nt
Organism: Carassius gibelio (silver crucian carp)
Lineage: Eukaryota; Metazoa; Chordata; Actinopteri; Cypriniformes; Cyprinidae
Gene name: 5'-AMP-activated protein kinase subunit gamma-1
Exons: 16
Source: RefSeq, a predicted model, not a curated record